GAUCCUGGCUCAGGAUGAACGCUAGCUACAGGCUUAACACAUGCAAGUCGAGGGGCAGCAUUUCAGUUUGCUUGCAAACUGGAGAUGGCGACCGGCGCACGGGUGAGUAACACGUAUCCAACCUGCCGAUAACUCGGGUAUAGCCUUUCGAAGAAAGAUUAAUACCGAUGGUAUAAUCAGACCGCAUGGUCUUGUUAUUAAAGAAUUUCGGUUAUCGAUGGGGAGUGCGUUCCAUUAGGCAG
Molecule: ribosomal RNA, 242 nt
Filed under: uncultured bacterium
Lineage: Bacteria
Description: partial 16S ribosomal RNA
Rfam family: Bacterial small subunit ribosomal RNA
Source: RNAcentral